GUGGGUAUAACUCAGUGGUAGAGGGCAUGCUUAGCAUGCAUGAAGUCCUGGGUUCCCCAGUACCUCCA
RNAcentral lists this transfer RNA (68 nucleotides) under Camelus bactrianus (Bactrian camel). It matches the Rfam family "tRNA". From Rfam's summary of the family: Transfer RNA (tRNA) molecules are approximately 80 nucleotides in length. Their secondary structure includes four short double-helical elements and three loops (D, anti-codon, and T loops). RNAcentral also lists the same sequence under 3 other names. Lineage: Eukaryota; Metazoa; Chordata; Mammalia; Artiodactyla; Camelidae. The record is from Rfam by way of RNAcentral.